Molecule: long non-coding RNA, 4175 nt
Filed under: Triticum aestivum (bread wheat)
Lineage: Eukaryota; Viridiplantae; Streptophyta; Magnoliopsida; Poales; Poaceae
Description: long non-coding RNA (TAES_LNC005914)
Source: RNAcentral
CUGCAGAAGCUGGAUUUCCAGGAGAUGGUCAUGUUCCUCCAGCACCUCCCGACCAGGAACUGGGCGCACCACGAGCUCGAGAUGGUCCUCUCCAGGGCGUACAUGUGGCACACCAUGUUCAAGAGCUCGCCCAGCCAUCUUGCCAACUAGGAGGACUAAGCGGCUGUUGAUCAUGCCUGGGAGCAGGCGGCGGAGCAGUCCAGCUUCCGUUGUAAUGUAGACUCACAUAUACCCUUCCCGGAGGAACAAUGGGGGAGUUUCAUGUUUAUUUUGAGUGCUGUAUUAUGAAUAUCUGCUCCGAUUUGUAUAUCUCGCUGUGAAACUACCGUCUCGGUGAUAAUGAAUAUAUCUCAUUGGUUUUUGAUGCAAUUACCGUAUUCUUUUCAAAUCUGAUGGCCAUUUUGGCAUUUUGUUUGAGUUAUUUAGAGUUCAUAGCCCAAACUUUCUGAAACUGUUACUUUGUCUGAACAUGCAAACGCAGGCCUAGUGUCACACCGUGCGCAAUGUGUUAUAGACAUUACAGAAUGUCCAUCCGCAACAAAGAUAUCAAGAUUUCUAUGACAGUGUUUGGCCGCCAUUAUAAUCCCUUUGCUGGACUCGAGCACUCGAGAGGUCAUUAGUUGCGUGCAUUUCGCUGAUAUUUGUUGAUGAGAAGAAAUAGUUGGGAUUCUACAAAACACGGUUCGAGAGGUUGAGCAAGCCAACCAAUUCGAUGUUUUGGUGCAACUGUGAAAGGGGUCGCAGGAACCGGACACCGGAUUUAAAGGGUAUUUGUUUCCAGUGACUUAUUGGUCUAGGGACUUAAAUAAGUCCCUAUAAGUCCCAUCUAAACCAAAUAAGAGGGACUUAUAGGGACUUAAAGUGGGCAUUUGGGACUUAUGAAAUAAGACUCCCAAGGAGGGACUUAUAGUUGUAAUAUGGUCUUAUAGAGACUUAUAAGUCCCAGGAACCAAACAGGUAGGGAUUUUUUAGGGACUUGGGACUUAUAAAUUGGGACUAAAAAAAGUCCUAGGACUUAUGAAUCAAACAGGGACUUAAUAGGUAGUACAAAUCAACUUUUUAAAUUUCAAAAACAGAGAAAAUUUCCAGACCUCAUAGAAGUACGCAAACUUUCGGAAAUUAUUUCAGAUUUUGAUGUAUCAAAAUUCAUUUACUUUUAAUGAUUUUGAUUAAAUUUAAAUAUGCUUGAAUCUGUCUCGAAGUUUUGGGAUUACAAAUAUUUUGAAUUUCUGUUAACCACCGAAAAUUUCGAAAUUUUCAUUGAAAUUUCGAACCCUCGAACCCUAGCCCACCACCUCAUGCAUGGGGCCACCAUGUUGUGACCUCAGUGACGCCCCCAGACCAAAUGGCGUGGUGGCCGUUCGCUGCCGCGCCCCGCCGCCUCCGCAGACUCGCUGCCGUCGCCUUCUUCUCCGCAGCGCCCUCCCACGGCUGCCCGCUCCACGCCGAGCUCGCGCGCCGCGGCGCCCCCGCGGCCGCCUCGCUCGCCCUCUAUUCCCGCAUCCGCGCCGCCACGCCGCCCACCCCCUACACCUUCUCCCUCCUCCUCGCCGCCCUCGCCUCGUCCGCCUCCGGCGGUUGCACCCGCCUGGCCGCGCCCGUCGCCCACGCGCACGCGCUCAAGUGCGGCGCGCUCGCGCACCCCGUCGUCACCAACUCCCUCCUCAAGCUCUACUGCGCCCUCGGCCUCCUGCCCCACGCGCGCAGGGUGUUCGACGACUCGGGCGCCGCUCUGGACGCCGCCUCCUGGAACACCAUGGUGUCCGGCUACGGCAAGAGCGGCGACCUGGCAGCGGCGCGGGAGGUGUUCGGCAGAAUGCCCGGGCGGAACCUGGUGUCCUGGAGCUCCAUGGUCGACGCGCUUGUGCGUGCGGCGGAGUUUGACGAGGCGCUGCGGGUGUUUGAUCGGAUGAUGGGGGAGGGUUUCAAGCCGGAUGUGGUGGUGCUGGUGAGCGUGCUCAAGGCAUGCGCUCAUCUUGGUGCCGUCGAGAGGGGUCGGUGGGUCCAUCGGUAUAUGGAAACAGAGGGGUUUGCAGGGACGCAGAGGAAUGUCAUGGCCGAGACCGCCCUGGUGGACAUGUACUGCAAGUGCGGGUGCAUGGAGGAGGCGUGGCGUGCUUUUGACUCUGUUCGCUGCCGUGACGUCGUGCUGUGGAAUUCGAUGAUCGGGGGGCUUGCGAUGAAUGGCCAUGGCAAGCGUGCUCUUGAAUUGUUCCAAAGGAUGCACGAAAAAGGUUUUGUGCCAAAUCAGUCAACCUUUGUUGCUGCUUUGUGCGCGUGCACCCACACAGGUCGUCUGGACGAAGGGAGGAAAAUUUUCCAGUCGAUGCGGCAGCACGGGAUCGAGCCACAGAGAGAGCACUAUGGGUGCCUAGCUGAUCUCCUUGGGCGUGCAGGACGCGUUGAGGAGGCUGAGGCUGUCUUGUUGGAUAUGCCAAUGGAGCCACAUGCGUCGCAAUGGGGUGCGCUGAUGUCGUCAUGCCGGAUGCAUAAUGAUAUUACUGUCGGCGAACGGGUUGGGAAGCGGCUCAUUGAGCUAGAGCCACAACAUGGUGGUCGUUAUGCUGUUCUCUUCAACUUGUAUGCAGUCAAUGGUCGAUGGGAAGAUGCAAGAGCCAUUCGGCAGAUGAUGGUGGACAAGGGAGCGAAGAAAGAGCUGGGUUUCAGCUUCAUGGAGUGAAAUGGUUGCUCCAUGAGUUACACCCCGGACAAGCCAGAUCUAUGCACUCUUGGUAAGAUACUAAUGUCUCGUACUGGUGUACUCCAUCUGUCCGGUGAAGAGUGUACAUCUAGAGAUUUUAGGACAAAUUAUGGAGUGAAGUAAAAAAUGCAUUGGAAAGAUGCAAGCCACCGUCUCUUCUUCUUCUUCUUCUUCUAAGCCUUUUGUCCCAAACAAGUUGGGGUAGGCUAGAUAUGAAACCCUUUCACGAGGACUUCCCAGGAGGUCACCCAUCCUAAUACUACUCUCGCCCAAAUGAGUUUCAUACCCAAAGGAUUGGCUAGUUUUUACGUUGGCUCGCCAAGCCUAUCACAACCCUUAUAUAUGAAACCUUUUCACGAGGACUUCCCAGUAGGUCACCCAUCCUAGUACUACUCUCGCUCAAAUGGGUUUCAUACCCAUGGGAUUGGCUAGUUUUUACGUUGGCUCGCCAAGCCUAUCACAACCCUCCUCCUUUACCCGGGCUUGGGACUGGCUAUGCUUAAAAGACAUAGCCGGAGUUGCAAGCCACCAUCUCUCUCCUCUUUAAUUACCCAACCCCCAAUGAGCUAAGUGCAUGUAGAAAUUAAGAAGACCAUGUGUAGAUUGUUAUUGGUCUUGAUUACCGUGUGAUGAGAGAGAAGUAUUUUUUCUACUUUAAAGUGCAUUGGAAAGAUAGAAAUACAUUCUUUUGUGGACAAAUUUUGAAGCCAAAUGUACACUCUUCACCGGACGGAAGGAUCUGCCUUGAUGUCGACAAUAGUACCUUCUCUGUCACUUGUGAGGCUAUCUAUGGCAGCUUCAUGUCCUCCUGUGGAAAGAACACAAGCUAGUCAUGGCCUCAUGGGAACCCCAUCACGUCUUUUCUGCACCUGUUAACGUUUAUUUUUCUGCUCCGGUUACCACCUGCAGUGACUGCUGGCGCUGUUCAGGUGCAACUUAUUCUUGCCUGGAGAAGAGAGUGGCAUAUGCACCUCAAUAAUGCUUGUCAGAGAAGCUACAGAAGCUGAUUUUCAAGAGAUGGUCAUGUUCCUCCAGCACCUCCCGACCAGGAACUGGGCACGCGCCACGAGCUCCGAGACGGUCCUCUCCAGGGCAUACAUGUGGCAUGCGAUGUUCAAGAGCUCGCUUGGCUAUCUCGCCAGCUAGGAGGACUAUGCGGCUGUUGAUCAUGCCUGGGAGCAGUCCAGAUUCCGUUGUACUCUAGACUCACACAUUCCCUUCAGGGAGGGAUCUUGAGGGAAUUUUAUGUUUGUUUGGAGUGCUGUAUUAUUAACAUCUGCUCCGAUUUGUAUAUCUUGCUGUGAUAAUGAAUAGAUAUGGCAUUGGCUCUCGAUUUCUUCAUAUUGCUCACAAGUUAGGAGGCAUGUUCCUGGUCGAGUUUGUGACAGCUGACAGUAUAAAUUAACUUGCUUGAUGGCAGCGCCUUAAUUUCUAUCUGCUUUUACUUUCCAUGAACAUGUAUGUACUCUACUGG